AUACGGAGGAUCCGAGCGUUAUCCGGAUUUAUUGGGUUUAAAGGGAGCGUAGGCGGGAGAUCAAGUCAGCUGUGAAAUGUAGAUGCUCAACAUCUGCACUGCAGUUGAAACUGGUUUUCUUGAGUGCGUAAGGGGCAGGCGGAAUUCGUCGUGUAGCGGUGAAAUGUUUAGAUAUGACGAAGAACUCCGAUCGCGAAGGCAGCCUUGCGGGCCGCGACUGACGCUGAAGCUCGAAGGUGCGGGUAUCGAACAGGAUUAGAUGCCCUGGUAGUCCGCACAGUAAACGAUGGAUACUCGCUGUCGGCGAUAUACGGUCGGUGGCCAAGCGAAAGCGUUAAGUAUCCCACCUGGGGAGUACGCCGGCAACGGUGAAACUCAAAUGAAUUGACGGGG
This 393-nucleotide ribosomal RNA is filed under the name uncultured bacterium. RNAcentral's name for it is "partial 16S ribosomal RNA". It matches the Rfam family "Bacterial small subunit ribosomal RNA", at positions 523 to 918 of the family's 1533-position model. The record is from RNAcentral.